Molecule: ribosomal RNA, 111 nt
Filed under: Caerostris darwini
Lineage: Eukaryota; Metazoa; Arthropoda; Arachnida; Araneae; Araneidae
Source: RNAcentral
AACGGCCAUACCAUGCUGAUUAUACCGGUUCUCGGUAGAUCACCGAAGUCAAGCAUCAUUGAGCGCGGUCAGUACUUGGGUGGGUAACCACCUGGAAACACCUCGUGCGGU